AUUGAACGCUGGCGGCAGGCCUAACACAUGCAAGUCGAACGGUAACAGGAAACAGCUUGCUGUUUCGCUGACGAGUGGCGGACGGGUGAGUAAUGUCUGGGAAACUGCCUGAUGGAGGGGGAUAACUACUGGAAACGGUAGCUAAUACCGCAUAACGUCGCAAGACCAAAGAGGGGGACCUUCGGGCCUCUUGCCAUCGGAUGUGCCCAGAUGGGAUUAGCUAGUAGGUGGGGUAACGGCUCACCUAGGCGACGAUCCCUAGCUGGUCUGAGAGGAUGACCAGCCACACUGGAACUGAGACACGGUCCAGACUCCUACGGGAGGCAGCGGUGGGGAAUAUUGCACAAUGGGCGCAAGCCUGAUGCAGCCAUGCCGCGUGUAUGAAGAAGGCCUUCGGGUUGUAAAGUACUUUCAGCGGGGAGGAAGGGAGUAAAGUUAAUACCUUUGCUCAUUGACGUUACCCGCAGAAGAAGCACCGGCUAACUCCGUG
RNAcentral lists this ribosomal RNA (490 nucleotides) under uncultured bacterium. RNAcentral's name for it is "partial 16S ribosomal RNA". It matches the Rfam family "Bacterial small subunit ribosomal RNA", at positions 30 to 507 of the family's 1533-position model. The record is from RNAcentral.